Molecule: ribosomal RNA, 502 nt
Filed under: Bacillus licheniformis
Lineage: Bacteria; Bacillati; Bacillota; Bacilli; Caryophanales; Bacillaceae
Description: bacterial SSU rRNA
Rfam family: Bacterial small subunit ribosomal RNA
Source: RNAcentral
UGGCGGCGUGCCUAAUACAUGCAAGUCGAGCGGACCGACGGGAGCUUGCUCCCUUAGGUCAGCGGCGGACGGGUGAGUAACACGUGGGUAACCUGCCUGUAAGACUGGGAUAACUCCGGGAAACCGGGGCUAAUACCGGAUGCUUGAUUGAACCGCAUGGUUCAAUCAUAAAAGGUGGCUUUCAGCUACCACUUACAGAUGGACCCGCGGCGCAUUAGCUAGUUGGUGAGGUAACGGCUCACCAAGGCGACGAUGCGUAGCCGACCUGAGAGGGUGAUCGGCCACACUGGGACUGAGACACGGCCCAGACUCCUACGGGAGGCAGCAGUAGGGAAUCUUCCGCAAUGGACGAAAGUCUGACGGAGCAACGCCGCGUGAGUGAUGAAGGUUUUCGGAUCGUAAAACUCUGUUGUUAGGGAAGAACAAGUACCGUUCGAAUAGGGCGGUACCUUGACGGUACCUAACCAGAAAGCCACGGCUAACUACGUGCCAGCAGCCGCGG